Molecule: long non-coding RNA, 15050 nt
Filed under: Citrus x clementina
Lineage: Eukaryota; Viridiplantae; Streptophyta; Magnoliopsida; Sapindales; Rutaceae
Description: Citrus clementina (C. clementina) long non-coding RNA (CCLE_LNC002963)
Source: RNAcentral
AAGGAUGCAAUUUAGCAGGUCAUACAAUAUACCAAAAAAAGUCUUGGGGGUGCAGUAGGAAUAUUUCUUGAUAGAAAGAGUCUUAAAAAAUUUUUCGCCAGCAAACAUUUUCGCUCUCUGAUCUCUGUAUUCUUCUGAUCCUCCUCCUUGCUUGAACGUCUGUAACUUUGUCAUCCAUGAUUUGCAUUCAAUUCUUGACCAAAAAACCUUUUUCCGGAUUUUCAUCUUUUGAUCUCAAACAUGCUUUGCUUCUGUUGAUUGUGGUCGCUUUUAGUGCUAGUUCUUUUCUUAUAUUGCUUUGUUCCCUUUUGCCAUAAGUUCUUUGUUAGGAAAUUAGUGGGUGAAACAGGAUCGCAGCUAAAAUAAAAUUAGAAGAAAUAAAGAACAAGUACAAAAGAGAAUACUAGAAAUUAUGUAGUUCGAAUUUUAGUCUACGUCCACGGCGAAAAUAGAAGGAAAUAUUUUACUAGUGAAAUAAGGAUUACAAAUAUUGUAAUAUUUUGGCUCACUACCCAAAACUCCAACAAACUCAAUCUCUCACUCACGACACAAGAGUAUUAAAACUCUUAAUCUCUCACACAACUCUUUCUCUUUUACAAAACAGAGAAGAGAAACUUAAAGAAAAAAAAUGGAAUGCAAAAAUGAGGGUGGGAAGUGUUGAGUGUUAGAAAAUGCAUAUUUAUAAAAUAGAAAACCGUCAUUUUACAUUUCAAGUUUUACUAACAACCCUUACUUUUAUGUAUUUAAACUUCUUGUGAUUUAAUUACAUGUGUUUUAUUUUAAUUAAGUAUUUUAUGUAUUUAGGGGCAUUAUAGUCAUUUUACAAUAAAGGAGAGAUCAGACGGUAAAACGGACAUCACUUUUGAACUCAGGACGGUCGAAAACCUUAGGAGGAGCAUAAAAGGGAAAACGGCACUGUUUACAUGUACGGUACUAUUCACGUGUACGGUUUACGACACUGUUCAAAUAGACGGAUCGAUGACGUGGGAUUGACCGAUGAUGUGGCAUUGACUGAUGAGGUGUCACGAUCCUGUUGGGCUAAAAUUCUUAUGUACUGUUGGUGGUGACGUGGCAGCAUAUCAGUGGACGAAAAAUCUCGCGUACGGUACAUGCAUCACACAGGAUUAUUGUCAACCAAACCGCGUUACUGUUCAUUCGGGUCAAACCGUGUUACUGUUCAUCCACGUGGUCAAACCGCGUACUGUUGACUGAUGACGUGGCGCAAUCCUGAGCGUCCAAACUGUUUUUAAUCCGAUGGUCAUGAUUUACUCCAUGUAUCUAUAAAAAGGGGCCUCUCCCCCCUAAUUUGAUAGCUCCGAAUCCAUUUUUUGGAUCCAUUUUCUGUAAUUCCUUCUCCAUCUUGUAUUUUCUACGUAUUUUAAUAAAUUCCUAUUUUGCCCCUAGUUCAAUUAUGAGUAGCUAAUUUUCUUUCAAGCUUGGGUUGAAGGUGAAGUCUCAACAUGUGUCAUGGGCUUUAUUUGGUAAAUUUAUUUUCUCUUCUCCUCUAGUUUUUGUGGAUGUUUUGACUUCUCGUCGACAAAUAAUACUAAUCUUGUCUAGUACCGCCUUGGUUUUACCGGCUCCCUAGUACAAGGUUAUUAUUAUUUGGCACGAUAAGCCCUUAGCACCAUAUUGAUUAGAGUGUGGUUCAUGAGGUGUGGAUUCCCCUCUCAUGAUUUAAUUGGCAUUAAUACGGAUUAUUUAGCCCAUGAUGCAUGUUGAUACGGAUCCAGAUACCCAAGUACGUCAUUUCAAUAGAAUCAUCUUCAAUUUAUUCUCGCCAUUGCAAUUUCAAUUUUAGAAUUUAUUAUCGUCAUUUCAAUUCCAAUUUAAGGAUAAUUUAAAUCACUUCCACCACAAUUUCAACCUCCCAUUUACAAAAUUAAUUCUAUAUAUAAUUAAAAAUCCACCUCCUCGUGGGAUUGAUACUCGUCACCAUUAAUCUAUACUACAAUAGAUUCGUGCGCUUGCGAGUACAUUAAAAUUUGCACAACAGGAAGCCCUCUUUAUAUAGCAAAAAAUUUUGGCUCUUUUUUUAUUUUUUUUAUUUUUUUAGAACAAGUUAAAGCCGUGUGCUUCAUUUCUUUGGGCGGCACCUCCCUCAUCUCUUUUUCGUCUGUUUCUCUUUUGUUUAUUUCUUUGGGCGGCUGCCAAAGCCAAUUUGAUUUUGGCUAGGCCACCACUGGCUUUGACACUCUUUGCAUUUCCUUGGAUGAAGAAACCUUUUUCUUGUUUCAAUUUUCUGAUCUCAAAGCACUUUGAUUCUCGUCUGCCACACUGAUUUUGUCCUUCUUUUGUACAAACAUAAUUUCGCCAUUAUCUGUUUGAUUAUCAACUGACCUGUCGUUGACUCUAUUCUAUUUCUAUGUGAAAAAUACGAAAAAAAAAAAAAAGAGAUUGAAGAUGGUGGAAAGCAUUGUUACUGUUGUUUUAGAAGUUGUGAAAUGCUUGGCUCCUCCGACACAACGCCAACUUGAUUACUUGCGUAACUACAAUGAAAACAUUCAGAAACUCGAGGCAGAAACCGAGAGCCUGAAGGUUGAAAUUAGGAGCAUUGAGCGCAGAGUUUUUGGGGCCGAAAAAAAAGGAGAAAAGAGUGAAGAGAAAGUCGAGAAGUGGCUGGUUAGCGCCAACAAGAUCAUUGAUGAGGUGAAUGCCAAAUUCAUGGAAGAUGAAGAGACUGCAACUAAGCGAUGUCUCAAGGGGCUGUGUCCUAAUUUGAAGGCUCGCUAUCAGCUUAGCAAGAAAGCAGAGACACAGGUGAAGGCCCUUGUUGAGUGCCGAGAAGAAGCCGGUCGACUUGAUAGAAUUUCCUACCUUACCUAUCCGGACAAGAUAUGGCUCAAGUCCCACAAAGGUUACGAGGCCUUUGGAUCAAGGCUUUCUACUUUGAAGUGUAUACAAAACGCUUUGACAGAUGUUAAUGUCAGCAUCGUUGGAGUGUACGGCAUGGGCGGCGUUGGAAAGACGACUCUAGCGAAGGAGAUCGUUAGGCAAGCCUUGGCAGACAAGCUCUUUGAUCAAAUAGCCUUUUCAGAGGUUUCCGAAACUGUAGACAUAAAAAAGAUUCAGCGGGAUAUUGCUGAGGACUUGGGUCUGGCAUGGCAUGAGGAAACUGAAUCUAGAACUGCGAGUAGACUGUAUGAACAGUUGAAGAAUGAGAAGAAGAUUCUUGUGGUUCUAGAUAACAUAUGGAAGCAUCUUGAUUUGGAGACUGUUGGAAUUCCUUUUGGUGAUGAUUAUAGAGGUUGUAAACUCUUGCUGACAGCAAGAGAUCGUAAUGUUUUGUUGGAUAUGGAUUCUAAACAUAACUUCUUUAUUGACAACUUAAAUGAAGAAGAAGCUUGGAGAUUGUUUAAGACGAUGGCGGGUGAUUAUGUUGAAAAUCGUCAGCUGAAAUCUACAGCAACAGAUGUAGCAAAGGGAUGUGGAGGUUUGCCUAUUGCCUUAGCUACAACAGCAAGGGCAAUGAGAGACAAGACUGUGCAUGAAUGGAAGAAUGCCUUGCGAGAACUUCAAACGCCUUCAGUGAUGAACUUCGAAGGACUGCCGGCAGAUACUUAUUCAAGAAUCGAGCUGAGUUUCAAGUAUUUAAAAGGUGAGCAGCUCAAGAAAAUUUUUCUGCUUUGUAGUCUAAUAGGUAAUUCUAUUUUUACUUCAGACCUGUUUAAAUACUCCAUGGGUUUGGGUAUACUCCAAGGAGUCAAGAAGAUGGAAGAUGCACGAAACCAAUUAUAUGCAUUGGCCUAUAAACUUAAAGACGCUUGUUUGUUGCUUGAGGGAGGUAGCAACGAACAAUUUUCAAUGCAUGACGUCGUUCGCGAUGUUGGCAUAUCAAUUGCUUGCCGGGACCAACAUGUAUUUUUGGCAAAAAAUGAGGAUGUGUUGGAGCUGCCGGACAAGGAAGCACUUGAAAAUUGCUUUGCGAUUUCUAUAACAGGUUGCCGUAUUCAGGAGCUUCCUCAAGGAUUGGAAUGCUUGCAACUCGAAUUUUUAUAUGUAUCUCCCAAAGACUCUUACCUUCAAAUCAAUAUUCCUGAGAACUUUUUUGCAGGGAUGCGGAAGCUUAGAGUUGUAGAUUUUACUGGGAUGCAAUUAUAUUGCUUGCCAUCUUCAAUUGAUCUCUUAGUAAAUCUUCAAACACUAUGUUUAGAUCAAUGCAUGUUGGGAGACAUAGCUAUUAUUGGAAGGUUGAAGAAUCUGGAAAUCCUUAGCUUUUUAAAAUCAGAUAUUGUGCAGUUGCCUGAAGAACUACGUGAAUUGACUAAGCUAAGGUUGUUAGAUUUAUCCAAUUGUCUCCGGCUAAAAGUUAUUGCACCCAAUGUCCUAUCAAGCUUAACUCGAUUGGAAGAACUCUACAUGAAAAAUUGCUUUAUCGAAUGGGAGGUUGAAAGCCCCAAUAGUGGAAGAUGUACUGCCAGCCUUGUUGAGUUGUUGCAAUUGCCUCGACUGACCACUCUAGAAAUAGAUGUCAAAAAUGAUAGUAUUUUACCAGAAGGAUUUUUUGCAAAAAAAUUAGAAAGGUUCAAAAUAUCAAUAGGAGAUGAGUCAUUCAAGCCUCCCGUGCUUGCGAAUGAAUGGUUCCGUAGUCGGCGGCUUUUGAUCAGUAAUCCUUCGAGUUUAAGAACCAUUAAGCUGAAGCUUAGCUCAAAGCCUAUUUGCUCGAAGAAAAUGCAGGGCAUCCAGAAUGCUGAAUACUUGUGUUUGGACAAGCUGCAAGGUGUGAAUAAUGUUCUUUUCGAUAUGGACACUGAGGGCUUUCUACAGUUGAAGCAUCUCCAUGUUCAAAAUAAUCCUGAAUUCUCGUGUGUUGUUGACUCAACGGAGAGGGUAUCUCGCGAUGCCUUUCCUCUUUUGGAGUCACUUACUCUUUACAAUUUGAUUAACAUGGAGAGGGUGUGUACUGAUCCACUCAAAGUAGAGUCUUUCUGUGAACUUAAAACCAUAAAAGUGGGAAAAUGUGAUGAGUUGAGUAAUAUCUUCUUGCUGUCUUCCACAAGCUGCCUUCCCAGACUUGAGAGGAUUGCAGUUUUUGAUUGCGAUAAGAUUGAAGAGGUCUUUGCAAUUGGUGGAGAACCAGAUGUCGACAACUAUAAUACAAUGGAGAAGACAGAGUUUGCUGCAUUAAAAUGUUUACAUCUGCGGAAGCUUCCAAAGCUUGAAAGUUUUUGCUCUGAAGUAAAGAGACCAAAUACACAAGAGUCGCAAGAGGAAUUGACAGCUAUUACUUGCUCGAACGAAAUCAGUUUGUUGGAGGAGGACAAGCUUGAUACUUCGACACCGCUUUUCAAGGAGAAGGUAAGCAAUUAUAAUGAAACCAAAGCAUUCGUUUUUCUUUCUCAAUUUAUUCUAUCGUGCAUUCUCAUUUGAUGACAACUGUAGAAAAUAAAUUAUAAGGGAAAUAGAAAAUGAGAAUGGAAAUUAGAAUCUAACACACUCACUCACUAAGCUCGCUUUACACAUUAAUGAUGUGAAUUAAAUUGCAGAUUAAGUGUAUGUUUGGUAUGGUAAUAAUUCUCAAAAAAUCAUUUUUAGCACAGAUUUCUAAAAACUAUAUUUGAAAAAAGUUUUAACACAAUGUUUUGUAAAUGGGUGAGCUAUUUGCACCUCAAAAAUUACUCUAAACACUCUAAUUGAAAUAAAAAUUUAUAACAAAAAUAUCUAUCAUAUGAAUUACGUUAAGGACAAUUUAUUAUAAGUCAAUAUUACAUAAUUACUAUGAACGCCCCAUAUAACACACUCAUUAUUUAAUAUAUAUAAUUUUCAUGUUUUAAACCUUAAAAAAUUUUAUUUACAAAAUCUUCAUCAAUACUUAGAUGAAUAAUGAUAAAAUCAAUAUUUUUCUUUUAUUUUUCCAUAAAUAAAAUUAAUUUUGCACUCAUUAUUUUUAUUUUUUCAAAAAUAAAGUAAGUAUCUUUUUCCUUUUAUUGGGCUUUUGACCUCUUUUUUUUUUCUUCUUUGUCCUCUUCUCUUCUUCUCCUUCCUUUUUUAGAGUUAUUAUGGAAUAUUUCUUCUUAUUAUUUUCUCAUUGCAAGUUAUUUUAAGUGCAAAAUCCAAUAUUAAACAUAAGUAAACAAAAAAAUUAAUAACUAAAAUACUUGUUUUACUAUUUAAAUUACAUUCGGUACACAUGCAUGUUUGGUAAUUUACUAUUAUAAAAUACAUGUUUUAUUAUUUUUCAAAAAUAAAAGAGGUUUUUUAUAAUUCAUAAAUAAUAUUGAGCACACUAUUUUAAUAAUCACUUUUCAAUUACAUUUGUCAAACUCUUUGGUACAUUAGAUUGUCAAAUGAUCAAAUACCAAACACGCACUGAAGCUGUCACUUGGAAGAAGGUUUUGAUGGCUUAUAUUUACAAUCAAAGAAGAUACUUCUCAGCUUAUAUUGGAUCUAAUAAAAAAUUAAUGUUUAGGUUGUGCUCCCCAGCUUGGAGGAUUUGAAGCUGGUUGGAAUUAAUGUCGAAAAGAUUUGGCAAAAUCAACUUCCAGCCAUGUUUCUUUGCUUUCAAAGUUUAACUAAAUUGAUCGUGGGGAAGUGUCACAAAUUAAAAUGUAUAUUUUCGACUUCUAUGCUCAGAAGCUUUGAACAACUCCGACAGCUGAAUAUAUACAACUGUAUGGGUUUGCUUGAGAUUAUUUCCGAAGGAGCAGAUCAAGUGCCACCUUGUUUUAUCUUUCCGCGGCUGACAUUUCUAAGACUACGUAAACUACCAGAACUUAGAUGUUUAUAUCCUGGAAUGCAUACUUCGGAAUGGCCGGCACUAAAAAUGUUGAAGGUCUUUGGUUGUGACAAAAUAAAGUUAUUCGGUUCCGAAUUAUCUAGCUUCCAUGGAAACAUUGAUAAGAAUCAGCUUCAUAUCCCAGCGCAACAGCCCCUGUUGUUGAUCGAAAAGGUAUAUAUGCAACCAUUUAUUUGAUUUUUUAUCAGUUGAGUCUUACUGUUUCUUAUGUUUUACGUUUGAUUCUUUGUUGCAAAGAAACUCACAAACAAAAGAUUUUAGAAAUACCCACUGUACAUGUAUGUAUUGCUCAAAAUUGUUUGACAGAACAUCAAUAGAACUAAUUAGUUUUUAUAUGAGUUGAUGAUGUUCAGAUCUUCCCCAGCUUGGAGAAACUCCUAUUAAGUGGAAAGGAUUUCAGGAUGAUUUUGCAGGGUGAUUACCCACAAAACCUAUUUGGCAGUCUUAAAUACAUUAAGGUUGCGGAUGAUGACUCAGCUUGUUUUCCACUUGGUUUACUUGAGAAAUUUCAAAAUCUGGAAAUCCUCUUUCUGAGUUGUACUUCAUACACAGAGAUAUUAUCAAAUGAAGGACACUCGGAGAAGCACGUGGGCAAGUUCUCACAAGUAAAACAUUUACAGCCGUACAAACUGAAUGAUCUGAAGCACCUAUGGAAACAAGACUCCAAACUGGACUCCAUUCUUGCAAAUCUUGAAAUUCUACGAGUAUAUUGUUGUCAAAAUCUGACUGUUCUAUUGCCAUCAUCAUCGGUAUCGUUUUGGAAUCUAACAGAUCUGCAAGUUUGGGGCUGCAAGAAAUUGAUGAAUUUGGUAACAUCCUCCACAGCAAAGAGUCUAGUGCGCCUCAUGACAAUGAAGGUGUGUGGGAGCAAAGCAAUGACACAAGUGGUGGUAAGUGAGGAAGAUGGAGCAGAAGAUGAAAUUGUUUUCAGCAAAUUGAAGACAUUGUCUCUGCUUGAUUUAGAUAGCCUCACAAGUUUCUACUCUGGCAAUUACACCUUCAAAUUCCCAUCUCUACAAGAUUUAGAAGUGAUUGGUUGUCCCAAGAUGAAGAUUUUCACCACAGGAGAAUUAUGCACACCGCCGAGAGUAAAUGUCUGGUAUGGAGAGGGAGAUGGUGAAUGUCGUUGGGCUAAUGACCUUAACGUUACGAUACAAGAGUUGCAUGCUGAAAAGGUACGGUUAACCCACCAACUUAACUCCCAAGGAAAAAUUUUACAAAUUUGCACUUUUUAACAAAAUUUAGAAAAUAGAUCAUGGACAACCAAGUUUGACUCAUUAGAAUAUUUAUUAUUGAGUAAGUGCAUGAUCGGGUUUGAAAAAGUAUGAGACACUUCUGUAUGUAGUUCUUGAAACUGUCCAAUUUAAAACAGACAUAUUCAAUUCUCAAAAAAUCAUGAAUCAUUAGUUUUAACUUCAUAAUAUAAAAGUCGUGUCAAAUUAAUGAAUGAGAAUUUUGUUUUCAGAUGUUGGAGGGGUCGUCAUCUAACUUGAGGAAGUACGAUUGGUGAUCAUGUUGGCUUUUUAAUUUAUUACUUGGAGUUGUGAAUUUGAAGAAUAAAGUCCCAGGUAAAUAAUUUAAUUUCCCUUAUUUGAUCUCAUAGCUUGUUUCAUCGGUUCACCUGAACUAUUUAGAUUGCGUCACUGGUUUAUUGUUAACUUUAAAAUGAAGUUUUAAUGUUUCAUUCGGGGCUUUAUGAGCAAAUUUUACAUCAUUGAAUGUCCUUUGGUCUGAACUUUUGAGCUUUUUGUUUGAUAGUCAAGGCUUUAUAGUAUGCUAUUUAUAAUUCCUUAAGAAUGUGCAAAAUUUUUUAUGAUAAAAUUGCUUGAAUAUGUCAUUGAAAGGAACUUCUAUGUUGCUCUUUAUGAUUACAGAGUUCUCAAUGUUAUCACUCUUCUUUUGCAGGAUGUGGAAUCAAAGAUACUUUUCUAUGAAAUUUGUGUUCCUUGUAUUAAAAGUUUACAUGCUGAAGGGCUUCCUGUGUUAUCUUUGCUGUUCUACUUGUGCUUUACUUCAUUGUGUCGCUACAGCUUUGUGAGUGUUAUGUUAACUAUUGUUUCCUUCAUUUGGGCAUUGUAAGUUUCGAAGGCGCUACAUUGCUUGACUAAAGAUGCUUAAAUUUAUCAUCUGUUUGUACCCCUUGUAUUAUAUACAAUAAAUUUUUGAUGUAUUUUGACAUUUAAUACGAGAUAUGUUUGAAUUUUCAUUGAAAGGUUUCAUAAUUGUUCAAAUUUAUCUUCAGUUUUAUUUUUGUUAUCUUGUUGGAACCAAAUUGACAACCAAGAUCAAUUUGGAACACCCAAGAUCCACUCUAAGAAACUUGAUCUUAACUAGGUCUGAUACUAGACUGAGUUUAAGAAGAAAUUUGCCUAGGUAAGUGGAAUCAAACACAACUCAAGGAACAAAAGCAGAAAAGAAAGAAAACAGAUCUCACACACAGCACCAAGAUUUAUAGUGGUUCGGCCAUUUUCUUGCCUAUAUCCACUGUGAAAAGAGAAGCAAGCUUUCACUGAUUUCAGAGAUUACAAGUCACAGAGAUGAAGAGUAUGUGUAACAGAAUCGAAACCCCUCAGUAACAGAUCAUAGAGCCUUUUACAUUUCAAUCAAAACCCUCUAAAAGGACCCCAAACAAUCAGCUCACGCUCCUGGGUUUCUCAGCUAAGCAAUCCCAGCUGCAUCUGCAUCCCGCGUGAAUUAACUGAAUUAACAGCUUCUGGAACUGCUCAGGGACACUUGUCAAAUGCUCGUAUAAUUUGCUACUUCAAAAACCGACAUGACAUCACUUCCUUCCCCAAGCAUCAGACACGUCAUACACAUUCCCGAAUCCAGAUUUGAGCUUCCCCUCUUCAGCAUAUCUCAAAUACAUGUUAGGCCUUGCAUGCAUAGACGCACGUAAUAUCCCAGAAGAGUUUUAUCAGAUGAUUUUACUAUCAUCGUUGUUGUUGCUGCUCCCGCCGCCGCCAUUAUUACUAUUAUUAUACUACUACUUGAAAAUUUCAAGUAUUUUAGAUGAGAAAUUUAUUAUGUUAGAGAUAUUCAUAAUAUACAUGAUGCUGAAAUCAGGGAAUUUGUUGUCUCAGUUUGUUUUAUUUUUGUUUGCCUCGAAUCAAAUUUUGAAAUUUAAGAACUAUGGUAAGAGAUGGAACAAGAGGAGUUAAAAAAUUUGCCAAAAUUGAUGUAGCAAUGAAACAAUUGUAUCCUAACAUGUUUAGCAUCAUUCUACUUUAUGAUCAUUGUUGUUCCGUUAUUUUAGUUCUUGCUCUGUUUGUUCUGUUUCUCUGUUUAUUUCACUGGGGGUUUGCUUCACAAAAUCUUACUUUCAAAAUUUAGAAGGCAAGGAAAGAGCGCUUCGAAAAUGCAAGAGGUAUCAAAUCAUGCAUUAAAAAACUUGUUGGCUGCUGGCUGGUCUAUUUCAUUGGCACCGAUCGAAUCAUUAUCCCUAAAAUAAUUAGGAGUCGGAGAUAUAAGUGUGAAAAUAACAGGAUCAUUUACAACAUGGAAAUCAGUCGCCAUUGGUAGGUGGCGCUGCAUAUGAUAAUAACAACUGAUUGAUACCAACAAAGUGUUGGCUCCACUGGUAAUGGAGUCCCCUUAAGUGGCUUGACUGGAUUUGCUCCCCAGUUCGAGUCGCAGGGAAGUCGCCUUUGUUGGGAGAAUCUGUGCCUCCCGGUUCGAGCGGAGACUUCUAGUCUGGGUUGUGGUACGGGCUUAAAGGUGCCUCCCACAGUUGGGGCCCUCCCCAGGAUACCUCGUGAUUAAUAUAAAAAAAAAAAAACAACUGAUUGAUGAAAUUAAUGCCAUCAAUCUGCCUGUUAAUGUUGUUGACGCGUGUCAAAUUUUCAUGCAUAUUAGAAUUUAUUAGUGAGGUUGCAUUAUGGUCCAUAUCGUCAAUAACUUUAGCAGUCAAAUUUUACGCCACUGGAGUCAAAUUUUCAUGCAUAAAGCUGUUGGCUGGUCUGUUUGGCUCUACAAUGAUUUAUCUUUUCGACUUAAAAUGAUUCCAAAAAGCCAUCAGCAAUCUCUAGUGCAACUCUUCAAAAAAAAAAAUUAAAAUAAAAAUAAAAGUCUCAAAAAGUAUCAUUAAUUUAAUUCUAUUGUUUCCGGGUAAUCAGAACGUGUUUGAUAAAUAUUUAUAAGUUACAGUUUGAAAAUUAAAUAGAUUUUAUUUAACAAAAAGAUAUUGUUGACGCGUGUCAAAUUUUCAUGCAUAUUAGAAUUUAUUAGUGAGGUUGCAUUAUGGUCCAUAUCGUCAAUAACUUUAGCAGUCAAAUUUUACGCCACCGGAGUCAAGUGAUUUUUAAGCAGUUUUAUUCAACUGGUUACCUGAGUUCGAAUCUUAAAGAGAUAAAUAGUUAAAAAUGAAUUUAGACUUUGCCUACUCCUUUAAUAAAAAAAGAAGGUCAUUUAGUCUUAACUUUUGAAAUUUUUAUUUGACAUUUCGGCUUUAUAGCAUGCGAUGUAUUUUCUUAAAUUUUAUAAUUCCUUGAGAAUGUGCAAACAUUUUAUGAUAAAAUUACUUAAAAAUGUCGUUGAAACGAACUGAACUUUUUAUGUUGAAAGAAAGCCUUAUUAUUUUUCUGUACUUCUAUGUAAUGCUUUAUGGUUACAAAAUUCUCAUUGUUAUCACUCUUCUUGUGCAAGAUCUGUAAUGAAAGAUACUUUUCUGUCAAAUUUGUGUUCCUGAUAUUAAAAGUUCACAUGCUGGGGGGCUUCCUAUUUCAUCUUUGUCAUUCUACUUGUGCUUUGCUUCAUUGUGUAGCUACAGCAUUAUAAGCGUUACCAUAACUUAUCUGCAGCAAUUUUAUAAUUUACUAUUAUUGUGGUUGUUGCUGCUAUCAUUGUUCUACUAGUUGGAAAAUUCGAAUUCUUUUAGACGUGACAUUUAUCAUAUUAGAUAUUCAAGGUAUACAUACAUGCAUAUAUAUAUAUAUAUAUAUACUGGGUAUCUGUUUAGAUAUGAUGCAGAGAAAUGACAGAAGUUGUAUUAAGUGACGAAGAUUGAGCAGCAAAACAAGAGAUAGUUUUCAGCAAAUUAAAGACGUUGGCUCUGUUUGAUUUAGUUAGACUCACAAGUUUCUGCUCUGGCAAUUGCACUUUCAAAUUCCCAUCCUUGCAAGAUUUAACUGUGAUUGACUGUCCCAAGAUGAAGAAUUUUACUAGAGGAGAAUUAUGGAUGCCAUCUGGUACGGAGAGAGAGAAGAUGAAAGCCGUUGGGCUAAUGACCUUAACACAACCAUACAACAACUACAUGCAGAAACGGUAUGAUUAAUUCACUAUUCUAUCUCCAAUGGAAAAGUUUUACAAAAUUUGCAAUUUUUUAACAAAACGUAGAAAACUGAUCAUUGACAAGUUAGUUUGAUUCAUUAGAAUAUUCGCUAUUACUUUUGUAUUUAAUUCAUCAAACUGUCCUAUUUAAUAUUGACAUUUUCACAAAAGUUAGAUAAUGUUUUUCAAUUCUCACAAAUUCGUUAAUAAUUAGUUUUAAUUUCAUAAUAUGAAAAUCUUGUCAAAGAAAUUGUGUUAUUAAACUUAUUAAAUCUCUCGCUAGUGGCUUCCUUCCUAAUCUCCAUGUGCUUUAGUAUUUAUUUCCAAGUGCCUAAUUUUACGACUUUUAAUUUAGAUUAAUGAAUGACAAUUCUUAUUUUUUCAGCUGUUGGAGGGGCUUUCAUCUUAGUCGACUUUAUACAAGUAAUCUGAUCAAAUACAUUUUAGUACUUGGAUAAGAUGUGGAUUUGAAGACUAAAGAUCGCAGGUAACUAAUUUUAUUACUUAUGUACUUUUCUCAUGGUUUUGUUUCAUCGUUUCAUCUAAACUCUUUGGAAUGCAUUAAUUUUGUUUAUUGUUAAUUUGGAACGAAGUUUUAACGUAUCAUUCAGGGAUUUUGUUUGCAUCAUUGAGGGUUGUUUGGCCUUAACUUCUGAGGUUUUUGACAUUCAGCUUUAUAUUGUGCUAUUUUUUGUAAUUUUAUAACUUCUUGAAAGCAUGCAUAUAUUUUUUUUCUUAUCAUGAUGCCUCGAAAAUGUCAUUAGAAGGGACAGCAGUUUUCUUUUUCUUAUUUAUUUUCAAGUAUCUACGUUUGCGAAUUUUAGUUCAACUUGUUGAAUGGGAAUUUUGUUUUCAGCUACGUACAAGACGAUGCCGCUGCUGCUGCCAUUGUUACUGUCAUAGUUACUAUUACUCGAAAAUUUCAAGUAAUUUAGUUGUGAAAUUCAUUAUGUUAGAGAUAUUCAAAAUAUAUAUGAUGCUGAAAGAAAAGAGUGGACUUGUUGUCUCAGUUUGUCUCAUUUUGUUUUCUCCAACUCUAAUUUUCAAAUUUUAGAAAUAUGGUAAGAGAAGGAACAAAAUGAGUAAAAAAAUUGUCAAAAUAGUUGUAGCUAUGAACAAUUAUAUCCAAACACAUUUAGCAUCAAUCUACUUUGCCAAAUUUUUUAGUCAUCGUCUUUGCUCGGUUGUUUUAGUUUUUGCCCUGUUUGUUCUCUUUAUUUUGAUUGAGUUUGCUUUACAAAGUCUAUCUUUCAAAACUUAGAAGGCGAGGAAAGAGCGGGUAGGAAAUGCAAAAGGUAUCAAAUCAUGCAUAUGGUCAAAUGCUCCUGUAUAUGAACACAUAAAGAACAAUUGAAAUAUCAUUCACCGGAUAACACAAACAAAUAAAAAAAAAAAAAAAAAGAAGAAAGAGAGAAAAUCUAAUCGUCUCAUUAUCCCGAACACAAAUAAUUAAACCAUCAAAUGUUUGCAAUGAGCACAAUCAGAUCAUCUCUUUGGAAUAAUUACAUGUUGGCUUGGCCUAUUUUUUGGCCGGUAAAAAGGUUUUUGGCUGGAGCAUUUGGCCUUAACUUUUUUUUUUUUUUGAGUCUAUAUCAAUUGAUGCCACUAUGUCAAUAAUAAUUGGUAGGAAAUAAAUUAAUAUGUAACUAUAUCUUCUUAAUUAAUUAUUUGUUUUUUUAUCCAUUUACAUUGGAAAAAAGGGGUGCAGGGUCAGGAAGCUUCUUAGACGUGGCACGUUCAAAAGCUUUUUUUUUUUUUUGUCUGAACCACAUGGUCCUGAGUAGGCCCUAACUGUGGGAGAUACCUUUAAGCUCAUACCACAAUCCAAACUAAUCUCCACUCGCACCAGGUCGGCCCGUAAGGGAUAAAGUACUGGCUAAAGUGGUGACUCCAUAUAAGAGCGGGGCUUGAACCUCUGACCUCUCUUAAGAAGUGAGAGUGCCGAACCACUCUGUUCAAAAGCUUUUCUUUUUUAAAAGCUGCGUCAAGCAUGACACGUCAACAUCAUUUACAAGUGGGAACAACUCUUUUUCAUAAAAGAAAAGCCUUUUUUGUUUUAAAAUAAAGUUUUUUUGGAUGAUUCACUAUUACUAAUUGCCCAAGUCAUUCUAUUGCGAAUACAUGCAAAUUAAUAAAGAGACUUGUGGGGUUGCUGGAUAGAAAUUGUUGAAUACAUACAAAUUAUUGAACAGAAAUCCAAUAAUUGAACACCGGCCAAUUCUUGUCCAAUCAAAUUAAAACUCAAUUAAUAUAUUCCACUAAAUUUUUCGUACAACAUCCUAUUCAGAUGAAUAAAAUGUAAAAAAUAAAAUAUAUAAUUCAAAAAAUUAUAAAGGAUGCAAUUUAGCAGGUCAUACAAUAUACCAACAUCAUUUACAAGUGGGAACAACUCUUUUUCAUAAAAGAAAAGCCUUUUUUGUUUUAAAAUAAAGUUUUUUUGGAUGAUUCACUAUUACUAAUUGCCCAAGUCAUUCUAUUGCGAAUACAUGCAAAUUAAUAAAGAGACUUGUGGGGUUGCUGGAUAGAAAUUGUUGAAUACAUACAAAUUAUUGAACAGAAAUCCAAUAAUUGAACACCGGCCAAUUCUUGUCCAAUCAAAUUAAAACUCAAUUAAUAUAUUCCACUAAAUUUUUCGUACAACAUCCUAUUCAGAUGAAUAAAAUGUAAAAAAUAAAAUAUAUAAUUCAAAAAAUUAUAAAGGAUGCAAUUUAGCAGGUCAUACAAUAUACCAAAAAAAGUCUUGGGGGUGCAGUGGGAAUAUUUCUUGACAGAAAGAGUCUUAAAAAUUUUUUCGCCAGAAAACAUUUUCUCUCUCUGAUCUCUGUAUUCUUCAGAUCCUCCUCCUUGCUUGAACGUCUGUAACUUUGUCAUCCAUGAUUUGCAUUCAAUUCUUGACGAAAAAACCUUUUUCCGGAUUUUCAUCUUUUGAUCUCAAACAUGCUUUGCUUCUGUUGAUUGUGGUCGCUUCUAGUGCUAGUUCUCUUCUUAUAUAGCUUUGUUCCCUUUUGCCAUCAGCUCUUUGCAUUUCCUUGGAUGAAGAAACCUUUUU